UUUAAGGGCUUCCAUUUUUCCCUAAACAAAAUAUACAUGGAAAAGUUUAUCAAAUUCCAGUGCCCUUCUUCGUUACCAGUCUCUUCGGUUUCUCGGUCUCUUAAAAUUCACUCUCAACCUCUGUCUGCCACUAACCAUUGUCGUUCUCUCUCGGCACCUCCGUUUCCUCUUCUUCUUUUUCUCUCAUUGAUCUAAGCUCCCCUCGCAGUACCAUCUACCAUGGAUUCAUCACUAUCGCAUCACCACACCAAUCACCACCACAAUCUCAUGUCACUCACCACCAUACCACUGUCGCAAGUCACCCUCAAGAAAGUCUAUAUCUCACAAUUACUAUCACCGUAAGCCACCUCAUAUAGGUGAAGAAUACCACAAAGGAGAGCAUGAAUUAAAGAAGAUCAAUGAACACUCUAUCCCAUAUCGAGAAAUUAGGGGUUCUGUUUAAACAGAAUAGCUAGGGUUCUUCCCUUCAAUUACCAUCUCCACCAUCAUCGAUGCCUUCGAAAACCGAAGCUAGGUGCUAUUGUUUAAUAAAGUAAGAAAUGUGAGAAGAAAAGGUGAGUCUCUAUUUAACUUUCUAUCGAGCACUAUAAGCAUUUUUCUUUUAUGUUAUAUAAUGCCUUUAUGCUAAUCAUUUUGUUUUUACUUGGUACAAUCCAUUUGAUCUACUGAUGUGUGGAGGCAAAAAAAAAUUCCAUGUCGAUGGUUCCUAAUUCAAGCAAGGUGUAUCUCCUUAGAAAUUGUUGGUACAUUUGUUUAUUUUUUUAAUUAGUUAAUAGGGAUUUUGGUAAACACUUUGUCUAUAAAUGAAACAGUGGGUGGCGAAUUCCCAAAUAGUUUGGCUUUUUUUUUACCGUGAAAGGUGUUAUUAUUUUCAUUUCCAUAUG
Molecule: non-coding RNA, 884 nt
Organism: Lactuca sativa (garden lettuce)
Lineage: Eukaryota; Viridiplantae; Streptophyta; Magnoliopsida; Asterales; Asteraceae
Source: RefSeq, a predicted model, not a curated record